This 955-nucleotide ribosomal RNA is filed under the name Lactobacillus crispatus. RNAcentral describes it as "bacterial SSU rRNA". It matches the Rfam family "Bacterial small subunit ribosomal RNA", at positions 8 to 929 of the family's 1533-position model. The record is from RNAcentral. Lineage: Bacteria; Bacillati; Bacillota; Bacilli; Lactobacillales; Lactobacillaceae.
AGAGUUUGAUCAUGGCUCAGGACGAACGCUGGCGGCGUGCCUAAUACAUGCAAGUCGAGCGAGCGGAACUAACAGAUUUACUUCGGUAAUGACGUUAGGAAAGCGAGCGGCGGAUGGGUGAGUAACACGUGGGGAACCUGCCCCAUAGUCUGGGAUACCACUUGGAAACAGGUGCUAAUACCGGAUAAGAAAGCAGAUCGCAUGAUCAGCUUUUAAAAGGCGGCGUAAGCUGUCGCUAUGGGAUGGCCCCGCGGUGCAUUAGCUAGUUGGUAAGGUAAAGGCUUACCAAGGCGAUGAUGCAUAGCCGAGUUGAGAGACUGAUCGGCCACAUUGGGACUGAGACACGGCCCAAACUCCUACGGGAGGCAGCAGUAGGGAAUCUUCCACAAUGGACGCAAGUCUGAUGGAGCAACGCCGCGUGAGUGAAGAAGGUUUUCGGAUCGUAAAGCUCUGUUGUUGGUGAAGAAGGAUAGAGGUAGUAACUGGCCUUUAUUUGACGGUAAUCAACCAGAAAGUCACGGCUAACUACGUGCCAGCAGCCGCGGUAAUACGUAGGUGGCAAGCGUUGUCCGGAUUUACUGGGCGUAAAGCGAGCGCAGGCGGAAGAAUAAGUCUGAUGUGAAAGCCCUCGGCUUAACCGAGGAACUGCAUCGGAAACUGUUUUUCUUGAGUGCAGAAGAGGAGAGUGGAACUCCAUGUGUAGCGGUGGAAUGCGUAAAUAUAUGGAAGAACACCAGUGGCGAAGGCGGCUCUCUGGUCUGCAACUGACGCUGAGGCUCGAAAGCAUGGGUAGCGAACAGGAUUAGAUACCCUGGUAGUCCAUGCCGUAAACGAUGAGUGCUAAGUGUUGGGAGGUUUCCGCCUCUCAGUGCUGCAGCUAACGCAUUAAGCACUCCGCCUGGGGAGUACGACCGCAAGGUUGAAACUCAAAGGAAUUGACGGGGGCCCGCACAAG